RNAcentral lists this ribosomal RNA (336 nucleotides) under uncultured bacterium. Its description in RNAcentral is "bacterial SSU rRNA". It matches the Rfam family "Bacterial small subunit ribosomal RNA", at positions 9 to 350 of the family's 1533-position model. The record is from RNAcentral.
GAGUUUGAUCAUGGCUCAGGAUGAACGCUAGCGGCAGGCUUAACACAUGCAAGUCGAGGGGUAGUAUAGCAAUAUAUGAGACCGGCGCACGGGUGCGUAACGCGUAUGCAAUCUACCUUUUACAGGGGAAUAGCCCAGAGAAAUUUGGAUUAAUGCCCCAUGGUAUAAUUGAUUGGCAUCAAUUAAUUAUUAAAGUUCCAACGGUAAAAGAUGAGCAUGCGUCCCAUUAGCUAGUUGGUAUGGUAACGGCAUACCAAGGCGAUGAUGGGUAGGGGUCCUGAGAGGGAGAUCCCCCACACUGGUACUGAGACACGGACCAGACUCCUACGGGAGGCA